UUCUCUCACACAGAUGGAUGGAAGAUUGCAUUACACAAGAUUUGGUAUUAAAUCCAGAACGGUAUGAAGUGUCUGGAUCAAACCACAAUGCUAGCAGCAAUGCUCCUAAGCAAGCAAGAACUAAUGCAGCCAAAAUGAGACCUGGUUUAUUCAAUGGUUGC
This is a non-coding RNA of Penaeus vannamei (Pacific white shrimp), 161 nucleotides long. The record is from RefSeq and is a predicted model, not a curated record. Lineage: Eukaryota; Metazoa; Arthropoda; Malacostraca; Decapoda; Penaeidae.